Xenopus laevis (African clawed frog) is the source of this 711-nucleotide long non-coding RNA. RefSeq lists it as uncharacterized. The record is from RefSeq and is a predicted model, not a curated record. NCBI's taxonomy places the organism in Eukaryota, Metazoa, Chordata, Amphibia, Anura, Pipidae. The transcript has 3 exons.
GAGCUGAUGAAACCAGCCACAGCUGAAUAGUGAGGAGAAAAAGCUCGGUAUUUAUUGCUUUUGUUUGGCUUUUGGCUACAGACACUGGAACACUGUAAUGGGGAACUGCGGACAUAAGAGGAUGCCCUCUACAGCAGGAGAGAUAGAAUGAUGAGAGCUCUUCAGCCUGGACGCCCGCUACAGCAGGAGAGAUAGAAUGUUUGCCCAAGAUUUUCAGCCACGAGAUUCUGAUGAAUGGACCCCUAAUGACUGUAUUUUUUCUCUCUGUGCUCUAUGGGGAGCUUGUCCAGGAUUCGAAGAAUGCGUUGUGGAUGAACUUUCAGCAAACUGACACAGAUUGGAAGAGAUGUUUGUGUGUGUGUGUAUAUUGUGCAUUCUAAUCUUCAAUGGCAUAAUUUAGCUAUGCAGUACAUGCACCAUAUAUAAAUUCCCUCUAAAUCUAUUUGAAAUGCAUGGUAUUGAUCCUAAAAGUUGAAAAAAGAGGGAAAACAAAAUUAUGCAUUUUUUAUACCCUUAAGCCUUACCAUCUCUUCAUCUAGGGAAAUCAUAAUACAGUUGCUUAUAUCAGAUCAUUCCUUACAUAAUUUCCAUUUAGAUUUUUUUUAAAUAGGUAUCCACAAAACAAAUCCAUAGAAUAGCAUAGUAUCAUAUUUAUAUAUUAAUAUUUUUUUUUUGUUUAAUUCAAUGUAUCAUUAAAACUAUAAAAUAAAG